This is a non-coding RNA of Schizosaccharomyces pombe (fission yeast), 232 nucleotides long. The record is from the annotation of a GenBank genome assembly. Lineage: Eukaryota; Fungi; Ascomycota; Schizosaccharomycetes; Schizosaccharomycetales; Schizosaccharomycetaceae.
UUUGCAUCACGUUUUGUGUGCUAAAGAAAUUUAAAUCCGGGCUGGUACCAGUGCCGUCUUCAACAGCGAUAUCAUCUGUGCUCUCUUGAUCUUUCGCUUCUUCUUCUCUAAUUAUUUUCACAUUUUCCUUCUCAUAAGAGGAUUGUACCUCUCUCUCAUUAGCUUCAGUGAAUGCCAUAAUUAAAAUGUCGAAGAGGUUGAUGUUUUGAAACGUAAGAAGAAUGCGAAAUUA